This 98-nucleotide transfer RNA is filed under the name Candidatus Bathyarchaeota archaeon. RNAcentral describes it as "tRNA-Tyr". Lineage: Archaea; Thermoproteati; Candidatus Bathyarchaeota. The record is from RNAcentral.
CCCGCGGUAGCUCAGCCUGGUAGAGCUUCCGGCUGUAGACCGGAGUGUCGCUGGUUCAAAAUAGGCUCGUGCCUAUGAGACUCCGGCCCGCGGGACCA